Molecule: small nuclear RNA, 103 nt
Organism: Juglans microcarpa x Juglans regia
Lineage: Eukaryota; Viridiplantae; Streptophyta; Magnoliopsida; Fagales; Juglandaceae
Source: RefSeq, a predicted model, not a curated record
GUCCAUUCAGGGACAUCUGAUAAAAUUGGAACGAUACGAAAAAGAUUAGCAUGAGCCCUGCACAAGGAUUACAUGCACAAAUCGGGAAAUGGUAUUAGAGCAU